RNAcentral lists this ribosomal RNA (207 nucleotides) under uncultured bacterium. Its description in RNAcentral is "partial 16S ribosomal RNA". It matches the Rfam family "Bacterial small subunit ribosomal RNA", at positions 568 to 774 of the family's 1533-position model. The record is from RNAcentral.
UACGUAGGCGGCGCUGUCAGUCGGGUGUGAAAUCCCACGGCUCAACCGUGGAACUGCGCCCGAUACUGCAGUGCUUGAGGGAGACAGAGGUAAGCGGAACUGAUGGUGGAGCGGUGAAAUGCGUUGAUAUCAUCAGGAACACCGGUGGCGAAAGCGGCUUACUGGGUCUCUUCUGACGCUGAGGUACGAAAGCUAGGGGAGCGAAGG